This 16428-nucleotide long non-coding RNA is filed under the name Gossypium barbadense (sea-island cotton). RNAcentral's name for it is "long non-coding RNA (GBAR_LNC012922)". The record is from RNAcentral. Lineage: Eukaryota; Viridiplantae; Streptophyta; Magnoliopsida; Malvales; Malvaceae.
UUUUUUUUUUAAAAAAAAACUAUCUUUUUCAUCUACAAACUUGAAUCGGGUCUUUUAAAACCAAAGAAAAAUGAAAAUGAAAAGAGAAAAAAUAAAAGGGGUCUCGGUCUAGUUUUUCCCUUUUUUGACCCUCAUCGGAAACCCAAUAGGUUUCAGGGUGUCUAAGGGGUGGCGAUGACCCUUAUCAGCGAUGAGAAAGUAGAACUCUGGUGGGUUUCAUCGUUUAUUUAUUUUUAUUACAAAAAAGAACAGAUUUUUAAAAGAAAAAAAUAUAAAAGAGUCACCUUUAGAAACUUUUUGCUUCUAUCUUUUGAUUAAUUUUUGCGUGUAACCCUUACAUCAUUUGGUUUCUGGGCUUAUAUAGCCGAAAAAUACACUUGAUUUAAUAUUAUUGCUAUUGCCUAUGCCUUUGCUAUUUUCUUGCUUUGUUUCUGCUCUGUUUUUGCCUUUUUGCUCUGUUGUCUUGCUUUGUUUUCUUUUUUCGCUUUCUUUUGCAGGCCCACAAUGGGUCAAUCGGGCUGUAGAUGGUCGUUUUGGUGCAAUGGGGGCCGAAUCUUGGGCGUUGUGCAUGUCGAGGGCGCACAUGGAGGCGCAACACCUUAGGUCAUUAGGGUUUUUUCUGUUGUUUUAUGUUUUGGGCCGUGUUUUUGGGUUAGGUUUUAGUUUUGGGCCUGCAAGACUUGGGCUUUGUAUUUGGGUUAUUUGUUUGGGCUGAUGAUUUAUUGUAAAUGGACUUGAUAUUUGGAUUUUUGGUGUAUUAUUAUUGGUAAUAGCUUGGUCCAUUUAGGCUUUUGUUGCCCCAGGCUAAAUUGGCCUACUACACUGUUAAUACGAGACUUCGGACAUGUUUGAUAAUGAUUUGACGAUGAUUCGGUAUUCGAAAUCUCGGUUGAACCUUAAGAAUGAAUUUGGAUACUAGUGACAUGUCAUUAGAGGAUUAUUGUGAUUAUGUGAUCCGGGUGCUGGUCUUGUACGUCCUACCGGUGGCUGAGUAUACCGGCAUGUGUUGCGGUUACUUAACAGCUUGUGUGAGUAGCACCGUGUAGCUACGUCUUGACCCACAGCUUGUGUGAGCAGACCCGUUGAUAGCUCUAGUGUGAGCAAUAUAUGUGAUAUAAAAUUGAGAUAGCUUCGGCUAUAUAUGUGAAACUUCAAAUGCGAGUUUCCCAUGUAUCCGAUAGUAUUUCGAAUGGUUCAACGGGUAAAUGAAAGAUGUGGAUGUGUAUGAGAUUGAUACGAGAUGGUACAGGUAUGUACAUGAACCGUAUAAACUUAAAUCGAAGAAGUUACGGAGUUCAUAUGUAAAGAUUUGGGUGGCAAAAUGGAUUGGUAAAUAGCCUAUUUUUGUCUACACGGGCAGAGACACGGAUGUGUGUCUCAGUCGUGUAUGACACAUGGUUAUGUUACAUGGCCGUGUGUCCCCUGGUGUCGAAAUUAAAAUCAAGUCAGCAUGCUCCACAUGACCUCACACACGGGCAUGUGACUUGGCCUUGUAGCAUAAGUUAGUAUACUCUACAGUUUUUGCAUGGCCUAGCACAAGGCUUGGCUCACGGGCGUGUAUGGCCUUUUUUAGGGCACACAGGCUAGCCUCACGGGCAUGUGUGUUGGCCGUGUAACCCAAGUCAGAGAGUUAUACGGGGUCAGACAUGGGCUGGGACACGGCCAUGUGCUUCUAUUUCGAAUGUCCACACGGCUUGUGACACGGGUGUGUUUUUGGCCGUGUGAGAGACACGGUUGGGCAACACGGGCGUGUGUCCCCUGUUUUUGAGAAAAAAAAUUUCUAAGUGUUCUAAGAGUUUCCAAAGGUAUCGGUUUAGUCCCAAACCACUCCCAAUGCAUAUUUAGAGCCUCGUAGGCUCGUAUUAGGGACAAUAUGAUUGGUUGUGAUUGAACUGUAUUUGAAUUGAUUAAUUUGUAUGUGAAAUGUAUGUUUAAAUAUGUUAUAAGUCCAGUAAUGUUCUGUAACCUUAUUCCGGCGUUGAAUACAGGAGAGGAGUGUUACAAAUUGGGUCGUGUAACUAGCUGAGGCCGUGUGGAUUAAAAGUUACCAAAUCUAUUGUACUCACAUGGACGUGUGGCUAGCCCGUGUAUGACAUACGCCCGUGUGCCAGCCCGUGUAGUACAUGAAUGUGCCAUUAAAUAUCCAAUUCAUGCCGGCUCAAAUGGUGUACAUUUGGCCAUUCAAACCUGCAUAAAACCAUUCUAGACACAUGCUAAUUCAUCCAUUUUGCUAACCACAAAACCAUACAAGCUAUCCCACAUGUAAUGAACACUUUGGAAAGCUUAAUAGCCUAUAUAUUCAUCAAUCACUCAAACAAAGCAUACUAAACAUCUUAACAUUUCAAACUUAAUCUAAACACAAGCAACAUACGCCAUUUAACUUGACAAAAAUGCCAAAGUGCACAUUUUAGUACACAACUCAUUUACUAAUCAAGUUUAAUAUCAUUUAAGGUUCCAAAAACACUAUCACUCAAGAUAACAUCUAUACAUUUUAUGCCCAUACUCAAGAAUUACAUUACCAACCUUUACAUUUAUUUACAUACCAUAUAACCAUUCACAAUGCCAAUCACAUUCAAAAACCAAGUACCAACAUUCAAGAUUGACCAAAACAAAUCACCUAUAUACAUGCCACAGAACAAAACUUCAAACGAUUAACAAAUUACCGAAUCAACAACAUGAUAGUGUGAGCUUUUGGACUAUCAGCCAAACAUAUUCCGCAAGUUGGAAAUCUAUAGGGAAAGGGAAAACAAACAAGGUAAGCAUAUACAAUGCUUAGUAAGUUUACAGGUAUUAAACCAAGUAACUUACCUCAGGUUAUAAUUAUACACUACAUGCUACUUAGCUUGGUAAAGUUUGCCUAACAUGGCGUAUCAAAUAUAAAAAAAGCGAGUUCAACAUUUAUCAUACCAUACACAAUUCACUUAUUCAAUAUUUCAUUACCAUUCACAAACAAAUAUUUAUUUAACCAAUUCACUAUCUUAAACAUAUCAUACAGUCUAUUUAUUCGCAAGACAUCCCAUUUCAAAUUAAUGGCAAACAUUAUUUUCAUUUCAAAAUUUGAAUUCUCAAUCUAAUUCAUAUUAAACCAUAUGAACUUCAUUCCCAUAUCAUAUCAAUUCAUCUUUAUACUAAAUAUACAUCAAAUGUCAACUUAAUGUCAAUCACUACUUUGUUUCAUAAUACAAAUUAUGAAUCACAUUCAUCGAUUUAUCACGUUUCCAUAAUAGCCUUCUGGGCUUGUAUAACUAAUUCACAAUAUGUAUAUGUAUCAUUCGAUGAUCAUAUCAACUCAAUUUGAAAUAAAUUAUUCCAUUUACAUUAUACAUGUCCUAUUAACCUGACUCAGACAUGGACAGAUACACGGAUCCAACCAAUCACAUCAAUUUGGCACCUAGUACCAAUUGGAUAAAUCUGAAAUCACAAGUUUCGCCUAGCAUUGGUCGGUAAAACUGACAAAUAGAUAUGCCAAGCACUGGUUGGUAUAACUGACAAAUAGGUGUGCCUAGCACUCCUCGACACGUAGUUGUAAUAACCCUAAACUCUUCCUAUCCUAUGGCAUGCCAACUAUAUCCAACUCUGCCCGAACAGUUAAUAGGUUAACAGUUUCUCAAUUUCGUUUAUAAGCUAAUUUCUCAAUUUAAUGCUUUCAUUUUAUCAACCAAUUAUAAAUUUGUAUGCAUAAUAUUAUAAUUCAACUUAUCAUAAAGCUAAUUUUGCAAUUACUACAAUAUACAAUAUUUCCAUAUCUAUUCAAUUUAGUUCUCUAUUUCAAAGAUCAAACAUAAUUAUAUCAAUUUAAUUCAAUUCAACUAAUCUAUCUCAUAUUGCAAUUCAUUGUAUUCAAUUUAUCAGUCAAUUUUUUAUUUCUUUAUGAUUUAAUCUAUAACUCACCUUUUUGUACCGGAUUGUAAAAAAUCAAAAUUUCAAUUAAGCAUAUUAACAAUUAUAAUUUUAAAAAUAUAAAAAUUUAACACAAACAUAUUGUAUGAACUCACCUAGUCAAAACAACAAAUGAUUAAUUCUCUAAGGACUAAUCAAUAAAAUUGCCUUUUUCCCCAAUUAAUUCUGAUUUGGUUCACUUUUAGACCUAUACAAUUAUUCAACUCAAUUUAUCAAUUCCAACCCUCUUAUUUCAUUCAAUUAUCAACAUAUAUCAGCUCAAUUUUAUUAUUCGAAUACCUCUAGACUUUUUCAUUUUAUUUAAUUUAGUCCAUAAAAUCAAAACUAUCAUCAGCUUCGAUUUUCAAUCUGAUUUCAAUUCAAUCGUUAUACAGCCCCUCUAUAAUCUAUAUUUAUAGAAAUCUCAUGCCAAAUUCAAAAUAUUUUCAUUUUAGUCCUUAAAUUUAAAACUAGAAAAAUUCCUUUUACAAACUAGCCUUAUUUCAUUUAUAAGCUUUAAAAUAUGCCAUUAACAUUCAAAAACUUCAAUUAACAUCAAUAGAAACUUUUCUAAACUUUUGCAAUUUUGAAAACGGAGGUUCGAGUUAACUAAAUCGAGUUACAACGAUCACAAAAAUAUAAAAUUUACGAAGAACGAACUAAAAUUACCUUACUAUACAAGAGAUGACCGUUUGGAGCAUUCAACAAUGGGGCUUCUUAUGUUUUAAUUAGGUUGGACGGCAUGAAGAAGAAAGUGAAUAGGAAAUUGAUUUGUUUAUCCAUUAAAAAUACUUAAAUACUUUGGUAAAAAUGUAAAAAUCUGAAACUUCUAAUUAAAAUAUAAUUUUUAACUCCCUUUUCACUAGAAAGAUAAGUGCCAACCGUCCAACAUAUCUUACAAUGGCCAAAUUUCCAUUUCAAACGUAAAACAUUUCAUAAUUAACCCAAUUACUAAUAAAAUCUAAUUAAUUAACCAUCCAAACUCAAAAAGUUUUAGACUUAACUUUAAUUCACCAAUAUAAUAACUCCAUAAAUAUUCAAUAAUAUAAUUUACGGGUUAACCACGAGAGUUAGGUGAGAUGGAAAGGGUUUCUCCUACCUUAACUAGUGGUCGAGGGUUCGAUCCUCGCCCUGGGUAUGGAGCAACUUUAAAACUCGUGGCCAGCAUCUACCCCUUAAUGGGCCUAUAGAAUGCAGAUGAUUAGUUAUUGGGCUCACUCCAGUAGAUACCUUAAGAAAUAAAAAAAAAAUAAUUUACGAGUUUGUUUUAUGAAAAUGAGGUCUUGGUACCUCCUUUUCCAAAAUGACUGGCUUUCUGUACGAACCACUUGUACCUUGAAUAAUUGACCAAUUAAUAAAAUCUAUAAAAUCAAAAAUCACAAUAAUGCCAUAUUUAAGUCGUUGCAAUAAUGAGAAACUGCUUCUGUGGUUAAUGGCUUGAUAAGCGCAUUAGCUAUCUAAUCAUUCCCAUGCAUGUAAUUGACCUGAAGCUGUCCACUAAGAACCUUGUCUUGAACAAAAUGUAAGUAAAGUUCAACAUGCUUGACACGAGCAUGUAGCAUAGGGUUGGCUGCCAAGGACAUCGUGCUGGAAUUAUCGCACCAAAUCACUAAAGUGCCUUUAAGCUUUACUCCUAUUUCAUCAAGUAGAGAGCGAAACCAUGUUAAUCCGGAUGUUGCAUUUGCUAGACUUCUAUACUCAACUUCUAAGGUGGAUUGAGACACAACACUCUGCUUCUUGGAGUCUAACCAAUGAGAUUGUUGCCAAGAUACAGAUAAAAUCCUAAGGUUGACUUACGGUCCUCAAGAGAGCUAGCCCAAUCGACAUUAAAAAAACCUAUUAAGGACACAUUUGAAGGUUGAAACACCAGACCAUGAGUAAUUGUACCUUGAAUAUAUCGUAGGAUUUGUUUGACAGCCAUCCAUGAACAUCAUGAGGAAGAUGCAUGUAUUGGUGUUGUCUAACAACAAAUGCUAUGUCGGGUUUGGUCAAGCACAAAUAUUGCAAACUACCAAAAAAUUGCUUAUAUUUGGUACCAUCGACAAGAGGUGAACCAACCAAAGAAGUGAGAGUAGGAGAACUUACCAUAGGAGUGUUUACAGGUUUGACGUUGGCCAUGAUAGCAUGUUCCAAUAGUUUUCGAGCUUACUUUUGUUGGGAUACAUGCAUACAAUCCCCAUUUUGAGUGACAUCAAGACCAAGAAAAUAACUCAGCUCUCCUAAGUUUUUUAAAGAGAAUUUCUGAUCAAGACAAUGAAUCACUUCAUCUAGCUAAGAACAAAUGUCACCAGUUACAAUUAUAUCAUUUACAUAUACAAGAAGAAAGACAACCAGAUAGAGCCCGUUAAUUUCUAAAACCAUGCUCUCGUCGCUUGCUUGAGACAUAUAGAGCAUUGUUCAGUCUACAAGCUAGAGGAUUCCUAUUAGCAUCAAAAACCUUGAACCAAGGUGGUUGUUUCAUGUAUAUGUCUUCAACCAAACCACCAUUUAAGAAUGCAUUGUUACACCAACAUGACGCAAUUUUCGUUUCCUCGACAUGACGAAAGCAAGAAUUGUUCGAAUUGUGUUAGCUUUGAAAUCUGGACUGGACGUCUCAUGAUAAUCCAAUCCAGGAGCUUGAGAAAAACCUUGAGCAAUAAGGUGAACUUUGUUACGAGCAACAUUGCCAUCUGGAUUAUUUUUUAUAUUGAAUAACCACUUGCAACCAACGAGUUACCUAUUAGCUGGUGGAGACACUAAAUCCCAAGUUUUGUUCUUGACUAGUGCCUGUAGCUCAUCAUGGAUAGCAUUCCUCCAUGAGGGAAUAACCAUAACCUCAUGGAUGUCAACUGGUUCAAUAGAGCUAAUUGUGGCAGCGUAAGCUUUUGGCUUGUAAGUGCCAACUUUGCUUCGAGUUAUCAUAGGAUGACUAUUACUUUGAGCUGGACCACAUGCUGAGAGAUGUACACACGACCAGUUUGAUCCAAGCAUUUAUAGCCUUUGUGAUUAGGUGCAUACCCCAAAAAUGUACAAGGUGUGGAUCUGUAUUGAAGUUAGAGUCGAUUGUAUGGUCUCAGCAAAGGAAAGCAGAGACACCUUAAAACUCGAAGCAGUUGAUAUUUAGGUUUUUGACCAAAGAGUCUUUCACUUGGAGAUACUCCACUCAACGUCUUUGUAUGAGAUAUACUGCAGAAUAAUUUAAAAAUUAUAAAAAUAUUCAAAAAAUAUAAAUGUUCAUAAAAAAAAUAAAAAAAUAGCAUGAAAUACAAGUGGAUUACAAAGCUAUCAUGUUUAAAAAUUUAAUAUUUAAAUCAGUAUUUCCGUUAAAAAAAUCUACCUUUAAUUUAAAAGUACAAUAAUAAAAAUCAAUCAAAAUAAAUUAUUGCAAUAUAAUGAUAAAUUUACACAUUAACCUUACUUUUCUUUUAUUGUUGAAAAAAGGAAGCUACACCAUUCAAUGAAGCUUAUUGCAUUGUACAUCUAAAAUAACACACUUCUUACGAUGCGAGUCUUAAGGCCCAAUUUCAGACCCAUAGAUGUGACGAGCUUACAUUACCUCAAAGCCCAACAAGGUUAAAGGCCAAGGAAAUCAAACCAAGAUUCGAUCAAAGACAAUAUGUGAGGAUGAAUCUUUUUAAGGAAACGAGUAAUGAUGCAUGCACGAGUUGGGUGAAAUUUAUCAAAGUCAACUCAACCAAGCUGUCAAUUUUUAAACUAAAAAGAUUAGUCAACUUGUGACAAAUUUUUUGAUGGUAUCUAGGUAUUUAUGGGCUUCGAUGUCUGCAUAAAUUUUGAAGAUCUAUCUCUUAACUUUGAAAAGCAUUUUGAAUCACUGGAUUUUGAGUUCAAGAGCUUAAGUUAUGAUCAUUUUGGUGAAGACUGUGCAAGCAGAAUUUCUGGAUGGGAUUAUGACGAAAAUUACGAGUUUCAGACUUUUAAUUUGAGUUUAAAUCAUAUUGGGUUUAAUUUUUAGGCUUAAUCAUGUAUUUAUUAGGUUUUAUUAUUUUAUUAUUUAUUUAUUCCAAAUUUUGAAUAUUGUUUAAGUAUUUUAAGUUGUUUAGGAGUUUUUGUUUUUUAGCAAAACAAGAAAGUUUCAUUUGGCUGUACUUAGCUAGCCUAUAUAAAGGCUUUUUCAUUGUUUAUUAAUAUAAUUAUUAUUUUCAUUAAUAAAGUUUUCAACUUCGAGAGUUAGUUUUUUUUGUGCAAGAUUUCUUUCUUGUGAUAUUUAGAAAUAGUUUUUUCUCGAUUUUUUUCAAGGAGUCGUCGGAAUUCAUUCUUCAUCCUUCAAUUUGCCAAGGAUUAUUUCUUGGAGGGUUAAUUAGAGCCAUUAAUUGAGUUUACUGGUAUUUAUGUCUCAAAGAGUUCAAUUUAAAACUUAUCCUUUUAUCCAUCAUAUCGUUGAUUUACUCAUUCCAUCUUUCAUUAUAUAUAUAUAUUUAUUUCUUAUUUAUUUAUGACUUAUAUUUGCUCUUUGUUAUCAAAUUUCUUCUUUUAUUGUUUUCGUUUUCUUUAUUACUAAAUUUUUUUUAUUUCUUAUUUUUAAGUAAGAUCCAAAUAUUUUAUUCUUAAGUCAAAUAACUUGAAUAGGAUCCUUCUUCCGUUUCUUCUGCUUCAAUUUCUAAUCAACUUUAAGGGUCUCCUAGCAAAAUGGAAGUGAUUCUUGUCGGUGGAGCCUCAAAAUUACGUAGGUCUAGUGUCACGGGGCUAGACCUUUUGUCUCGCAAUCCGUGCAGCCUUAGGCGAUUCGCUCGUCCAAACUCGCCCAAGUCAGCCUUUACUCGAAUGAGGGUUCCUUAAGAACUCCUCCAAGGCACAAACUCGUAUAGCGGAAGCAAACUUAUGCCAAAAGAAGCUUAAAAAGAACAACAGAAAGGGACGCUCGCAAAGUGUUUGAGUAAAUGCUCUCUAUUCUCUUAUUCACAAAGAAUAAUGAAACAAUGAAUGGAGUGAGUACAAAUGAGGGGGAGGCUCUCUAUUUAUACUUGAGCUCCCCUAAAACCGACGAUCAAGAUACAAUUACAUCGACGGACGAGAUUAACCAAUCCCAUGAUUUAAGGGAUUUUACAAGAUAUUGCCAUAUCAAAUCCUAUCUAAUCUUUACAAGAUAUGAUUCCCUUUAUCUUUAAAGAUUAGUUACCAUAGUUGCCUAAGUUGCCAUAUCUUCGCUAUCGGGCCAACCAGGCUUCAAUCUGACAGGCUUUUCCAAUAGUUCCUUGAAUCGGGCCAGCUCUCGUGGGCCAAAUGAUCCCCAUCUAAGUAAUAGACCUCCAUCGGAUGCAUUUCGUUCGAUGGUCACGGGCUUUGAACUCUGGCCCGUGACAUUCUCCCCCACCCAUUUCUUGCAACGUCCUCGUUGCGACUCCCGAAUGGCACUGACUUGAUUCACCUUGGAUCCCACUCGUUGCUUUAGCUCUUCCCUUCCUUCGGGACUUUUGCCUCGGCUUUCGUCGCUUCUUAAUUCGAGCCGUCCUACUCAUUUGUACAUCUCGAUGACAAGGAGUUAUGUCACUCCCUUGCCAACAUUCUAACUUCCCUCGAACAGAAUCCUCGUGAUUCACAACACUUGGCUUCGCUUUGCCCACAAUUUCUUGGCCUCCUUGCUCAAGAACUUCAAAAGGGCCCCUACGUUCUCGCAAAGUACACAAGUUAGAAUGCAAAACACUAUCAGAGUGUUUCGAAUGUACCUUUGCAUUUACUCGGGUCAACUGUCCCACAUGCAUCUCUUCUUUUUCCUUGAAGUCCGAUGCACCACCACCUCUCCCAUAGGUGGAAGCCUUGUCGAUGACUCGGUCAACUCCGACGCUUCACUCGAUUCGAGCCUCAUUGGUUCCAGCUUCACUGUUUUCAUCGCAACUUCUUCCUCUAAGUCCGAUGACAAACUCACCUCUUCCUUGGGUGGAAGCCCCUCCGACGACUCACCAUGCUCGGACGUUGCCUUUCCUUUGACUAUGGCUUGCUUUGGACAGUUCCGUAACUCAUGCAGACUAUGGCACAAGAAGCAUUUUACUCGCUUCUUUUUGCUCCUCUUAGCCUUCUUGGCUUCGGCUUUACCCUUGCUCGAACCAAGCUUCUUGGGCUCAUUGUCUGCUCCAUCGUUCCCUUCGAUAACAGACUUGCUCCUCUUUGCCCUCUUGGCUUUGGCUUUUCCCUUGCUCGAACCAAGCUUCUUAGGCUCCGUAUCUGCUCGAUCAUUCCCAUCGAUAACAGACUUCCUUGGACACUUCCGCAACCUAUGCGGACCAUGACAUAAGAAGCACUCGACUGGCUUCUUCCCGCUUUCGGCCUCCUUGGCUUCGAUACCCCUUGUGCUCGAACCAAGUCCCAAGGCCUUACCCACCGACUUCUUCUUAAGCGCGAAUUUUAUCGGACAUUUCUUUAACAUGUGUGGACCGUCGCAGAGAAAGCAGUUCAGCUUGUCCCUUUUCUUCUUGGGUUUCUUCUUCCCAACUCGUGGUUUCCCAUUACCAUAAUUGUCGCCGUUGCCAUUGCCAUACUCAUCUAUAUCUUCCUUGUGAUUCCCUUCACAUACGCCCCUUUCCUCGGACUUGGAAGAUCCAAGCUUGUCUUUCCCUAGACCAAGCUAACCACGGAUACCGCUACCUUCAUGGCUUCCGACAGCUUUUAGACACCUCUUUGUUCCACCUCCUGUCUGACCCACGGCUUCAAUCCCUCUUGAAAAGCAAUCAUUGCUUCUCUCUCAGUCACAUCCAAAACUUGGAGUAUGAGUUCCUUGAACUCACGAACAUACUCCCCCACUGUGCCCCGUUGCGUUAUCCCUUGCAACUUUGCCCGAGCUUCUUCCUCGGUAAACUCCGGGUAAAACUGUCCAUUCAACUCGCAUUGGAACUUCUCCCAUGUUCCAAUCUCACCUUGCCUUUUAUCUGUGGUCCUACCUCGCCACCAUAAAAGCGCAAUAUCAGUAAGAAAUAAUGAAGCAGUUUGUACCUUACCCGUAUCAUCCACGAUGCCUUUGGCACGGAAGUAGUUUUCCAUCCUCCACAAGAAAUUAUCCACAUCACAUGCAGACCUUGUCCCUACAAACUCUUUCGGCUUCGGGACAUACUCACUACUGAGUGCUGCACUUGACACUCCUUCCCCCACAGCUGCUCGACACAAGGCCAGCUCUCCCUCGAUCUCCUCUAUUCUUGUGUUUAAAGCCAGCGUCGUGGCCAUUGUUUCCUCCUUCAAAUCCAUCAACAUGGCCUCAAGAGCAUCGUUCCUGUCCGACAGUUUAUCUUUAUGUGAAUCAAAUAACUCGUUUACCUUAUCCAUGGUCGAAUCAAGAGACAUCUUUACAUAGUCUCUGGACUGUUCUUUCCAGUUAUCUAUGUGACCCUCGAACCCAUCGAGUGCGUCUUUUACGCCUUCCAUGGAUCCUUCGAGUUUACCCACACGUUCCUCUACUACCGACAGCAUCUCCCUCAAACCUUUUCUUGCCCUCCUUUGUUUGUACUCUUCUUUCGACAUCCCAACAGUGCCUUCAAACCAAUAGCUCUGAUACCAUUUGUCACAGGGCUAGACCUUUCGUCUCGCAAUCCGUGCGGCCUUAGGCAAUUCGCUCGUCCAGACUCGCCCAAGUCAACCUUUACUCGAAUGAGGGUUCCUUAAGAACUCCUCCAAGGCACAAACUCUUACAGCGGAAGCAAACUUAUGCCAAAAGAAGCUUAAAAAGAACAACAGAAAGGGACGCUCGCAAAGUGUUUGAGUAAAUACUCUCUAUUCUCUUAUUCACAAAGAAUAAUGAAACAAUGAAUGAAGUGAGUACAAAUGAGGGGGAGGCUGUCUAUUUAUACUUGAGCUCCCCCAAAACCGACGAUCAAGAUACAAUUACAUCGACGGACGAGAUUAACCAAUCCCAUGAUUUAAGGGAUUUUACAAGAUAUUUCCAUAUCAAAUCCUAUCUAAUCUUUACAAGAUAUGAUUCCCUUUAUCUUUAAAGAUUAGUUACCAUAGUUGCCUAAGUUGCCAUAUCUUCGCUAUCGGGCCAACCAGGCUUCAAUCUGACAGGCUUCUCCAAUAGUUCCUUGAAUCGGGCCAGCUCUCGUGGGCCAAAUGAUCCCCAUCUAAGUAAUAGACCUCCAUCGGAUGCAUUUGGUUCGAUGGUCACGGGCUUUGAACUCUGGCCCGUGACACUAGUAUAUGGUAUGUAGUAAAUCUUAUCGGGAAACUAGUCAAACUUUUGUUCUGUUUAGUUUUUGAAAAUAUUUUAUAUUUUUAUUUUAGGAAUUUUUUUUAUAUUUAAAUUUUGAAAAAUUGUUUAAAAGGAACAUUUUUUUUGCAUUUAUAUGGAUUUAAACCUUCAUUUUCGUUAUUUUUAUUUUUAUAAAACAUUUUUAGUGAAAACAUUGUUUUCUCAUUUUUCGCAUAUUUUCAUUUUAACUUUUUAAGAAACAAUUUUAAAAUUUUAUAGUAAACAUAUUUUCUUCAAUGUUUUCCAUUAAAAAACCGUAAACGAAUAGUUUUGUUUGUUGAAACCAAAUUAAACAUUAUUUUCUCUAUAGUUGAAAGAUUAUGAUUUUCAAUCAGCACCUUUGGAAAGCCAAUUUCUCGCCUACAACUCAACUCAUUGCACAUCCCAAUCCAACUGUUAUUCCCAUCUUUAAUACCAUAAAAAAGCAUCAAAAGGAAGAGAUCUAUAUAGAGCAGUACGAUCAUCGAGGUUUAAGAAUUGUAAUCACCACAUCAAUCUCAACAUCUCCAAAACUGUUGUCUAUUUGAGUGGAAUCAGUAACAAGUGAUGAUUCUAAUAGCUUCAAAGAUAUUUGGCUUUUUAUUUUAUUAGGAUUUUAAUUUUUUUUAUUUAUGUUUAGUUUAUGUUUUGUGUUAUUUAUUGGUAAUUGAUGUUAGUUCAAACUCAUUUUCGAGUAUCUUUUAGUAGGUUAUUUGAAUUCGUUGUUGUGUGUACUUGAUGUCAAUAGUUUGGUAGAUCUAUUAGUAGAAUGAGCUUAUAGGGGUGUAUGAGUUUAAUAAAACAAACGUAUUUUAAUAGUACAAUAUAUGUGACACGUGUCACCAUGUUUCUUAAAAGGAAUAGAAUUGUCAUGUGUCAACCUCUUAUGAAUAGGCUAUGUCAAGUGAUAGUUUCAUAUGAAGUUUAUAUGUGAUAAACUAAUAUUUCCUUUUUUUCUUUUUUUCUUUUUUCUUUGUAAAAACAAGUGUGACAUGCAUUACAUGCACAAUAAACUUGUUAUCUAACCUAACGACCUUCUUUUUAAAAUAAUCUAAAAUUCAUCUUAUUUUUAAAUAAUUAUUAAAUUUAGUAUAGCAAGUCUAAAAUAUAAAUAAUUGCCUAGGUAAGUGGAUAAAUUAGAUAUAUUAUAAACGAAAACAUAAAAUACUAAAAUUAUUUUUAUAUUAAUAUUUAUAAACUCUAUAACAGGGGUGAAGUUGGAAAUUUUCAAAAAGGGCCAAUAUAAUGAACAAUGAUAAUAUUUUUAAAAAUAAAAAUUAAUUAAAGAGAAAUAAUUUAAUAAAUAAAAAUAAGCUAGAAAGAAAUUUUAAAAUUUAUUUGAAUUGCACUCUUUGACCCUUAAUCUCACUAAAAUCAUCAAGUCUUUCGUUUUACAUUUUUUUUUUAUUUUUUGCAAUUUCUUUCUCAAUCAACUAAAGAACUUCUCAAAAAAUCAUCUUCCAUCUUACUACAAAGUCGAGUCUUCAUAAUCUUCGUAGUAAAAAAAAGCACAUUCUGUGGAUGCAAUUGAAACAGGAAGAGUCAAUAUAAGACGAAUCAAUCUAUCAAUGAGUGGGUACAUGACUGAAUUUCCAUUCUCAACUAAACUUCUACAAAGUUCAAAAAGUGUUUAUAUUUUUCUCAAGUUAGGAUGCUGACAUACAUGCCAAUAUCACUUCAACUCAUCUAGAUAGAACUUGUAGCACCCCUCACCUGGUUUAGUCGUCGAACUUGAGCUAUAACGUGCUACAACAAUUAACAGAGUAGUACACAUACAUUUCAGGCUUUAAAAUUUAAUUAAACGAUAAAACAUUGCAUACCCCAUGCACAAUAUAAAUUACAAUUAAUUCAAGCCUUAACCGAGCUUACGAAAGCUUUAAAGUUGACUCAAAAACAAACAGGGAUUAAAUUGGAACAUUUCCAAAAGAUAAAGGCAAACAUGUAAAAAUACGGGUUACACAGUUGCGUAUCAAGACCGUGCAACUCUCUUAAGCCAUGUGCAUCAAGAUACAAAAUUUCAACAAAUGUUGCACAGUGUGUGAUAGGAUCGUGAAUGUAACAUCCCGAAUUAGGGUUUAGUCAGAACAGUAGUUUUGAGACCACAAAUUCGAAGUAGAAAUAAUUUUUUUAUGAUUAUUAUAAGGCCUAUGAUAUGCUUGCAUGCUUAUAUGAAAAUUUCAUGUAGAAAUUUUAUUGAUAAAGUGUUCAAUUUAACUUUAGGACUAAAUUGAAAAAGUUACAAAAUAUGAGAUUCUAGAAGCUUUAAGUAUGAAAUAGAUUUGAAUUAUUAAUUAGGGGUCCUUAAAUAGAAAAUUGUCCAAUUUCUAUUUUUAUGGACAAAAAUUGGCAUGAGUAGGUAAAAUUUGAAAGUUUAGUAAAAAGGGCAUUUUGGUCAUUUGGUUAAUAAAAGAAUUAAAAGGGAAAAUAAGUAAAAGAUCUUGUCCAUCUUCAUCUACCUUGGCCAAAAUUUCCAUGCUCACCAUAGCUAGGGUUUCUUCAACUUUCAAGCUUAAUAGUAAGUGCAUCUAUCCCCCUUUUUAAUGUUCUUUACAUUUUGAAGUUGUCAUCAACCGGUCUAGCUAUUUCUACCAUUAUUUUGAGCUAGGGUUCAUGUUCAAAAACUUACCCAUGUGUGACAUGCAUGUACUUUGAUGUUUAAUGGAGGAAUAUGAAAUUUUGAUAUGUGAUAAGCACUUUUUGUUAAGUGAUUUUUGAUGAAAACACCUAAAAAGGACCUUUUUGUAAAAGGUCUAUAAUGAGUAGUAAGAUGCGUUUUAAUGGGAAAUGUGGGCUGAUAUGCGCAUGUGUUAAGUUCGGCUAGGCUUGGGUGACAAAGAAAAUGGACACAUUUCAUUUUACGAGCUUAGGGGUUAAUUUGUAAAAAUGUGAAAGUUUAGGGGCAAAACUAUAUGUAAGGCCCAAAUUCUGCCCGGGCCCAGACCACAAGAAUAAACCAAGAAAAAACAAAAAUAAUUAACAGCCCAUCUAAUGUCCAUUUACAGUUCAAAUCAUUACAAUAUUCCACAGUCCAAAUUACAUGACCCAAAUUUAAAACCUAAACCUAAUAUUACAAUAGCCCAAACCCAUUGUUUAGACCCAAAACCAAAUAGAAUGGCCCAUUAACCAUGACCCAAAAAUAGGCCCAAUAAGCCCAAUGUCUAAACCGAGAAACCCUAGCAGCUUUCCACUUGAGCCGCAGCAGCCCUCGCAACCUCCAGGCGUCGUACAACGCCUCCAGCAACCACGUCAAUAGCCCUCGUACGCCAGCACAGUCUCCGUACGAUGCCAACGCAUCCUGUACCUACAAGAAGGACAAACACAACGGCAAAUACAAACAAAAAAUGGCAGAACAGCAAAUAGAAGGGAACGGAAAUUUUAUUUGGAAUUUACUUUCCUUUUUCUUUUUUCUCUUCAGCUAUAAAAGCCAAGCUGUGAAUCGGUUGUAAGGUUAGGAAGAUACACAUAUUGAAUGCAAAGAGCAGAGGUGAUUUCAUACUUUUCUUUUUUUCUCUUUCGAUUUUUUUUAUUUUAUUUUCUUCUUAGUUUACUCAUUGUUAUUAUAUACAACUUAAAGCCGAUGAAAGCCAUAAAUAUUUCUGCUAUGCGGAUAUAAUGGCGAGAGGUCAAGUAGCAGUAUUUACUUUACAAAUCUGUUUCUAUUUUUUUCUUUUAAAAAUAAUGUGAGAUUCGAGUAUUUCAUUCAAACAAAGAAGGAGAGGAGAAAGAUACUUACUAAAUCCUUUUAAAACUUGUUCAAGUGUCUUCAACGGGGGAAGCGGGUGCUUUUUGCAUGCAGAUGGUCACCAAAAUAAUGGUGAUUCGGCUGCUAAAAAGAAACCCUAGAAACUUAGUUCCCAGGCUGUGUUUUUCGGCUACAAGUGGGGCUGUGUUUUGGGGAAGAAGCAGAGAAAAAAUGGUCUUAAAUGACCUAAUUUUGAAACGGUGCCGUGUCAGAAAGGGAGGGGUCCGCGCGUCCACCCGAUUGGAGACCCGACUCCACCCUUGUGCGCCUAAAUUGGGUUAUUUAGGUAGCAGGCCCCUCCCCUUUCGCGCCAUAUUUAAAUCAGCCCAUGUUUUUGUCUUGUUUGUUUUUAAUUUGGCCUUGUAACUUACAUCCGUUUGCAAUCUAACCCGCCCCUAAACGCAACGUUUUGGGAUCUGGUAUAUUACCAGCUUUAGUCCCUAGGUGUUUUUGCGCGUUGGAUGUUGGUCCUAUUAUCAUUACUAUUUUAUUUUUUAAUUACCCCAUGUAUUUUAGUUUAAUUUUAAUCGAGUCCUUUUAUCUUAUACCUCUUUUUAUUUUAUUUUAUUUGUGCAUUUUAAUUAAUCUUGAUAAAUACUUCUUCAUUCUUGUAGAUUCGUUUUUGUUAUAAUAUUAUUAUCAUAUUUCGCACUCUUUA